UUGGUUUGGUGUGAGAGGGGUUUCGGUUGAUCCUCUGCAGAUUGAUAAGAUCGGGCCAAGAGAUGACUCUGCAGGAAUGACUUCCACCUGGUCGGAAGAUUAGUCCUCUGUUAUGGAUACUCUACUUUGGCCAUUCAUGGCAGGAAUAAUCAGGUUUACGGAUGAGAUAACUAAUCAGCAGAAUUAGUGACAGAGAGAAGUGACAUUAGUGGCCACCUGCUUUCUACCGACAAUGCAACGAAGGGUGGGUUGGACCCAACCGCUUUGAGUUGUCAAUUGCCACAUUAGGGUUUCGCAACUUUUUGUGAGUAAGGGGUUCUGCUUUUCAUUUUUUGUAGUUAUUGUGGGGGUGUGGCAGAAAUUGGUAUGAUACUUGCAGAUGCUGUCUACAUAUUCUCUCCAGUUUUCACGACUGCCCAGAAUCCAUCACACGAAAAGGAAAGACAGCGUGAUUUAUGGAACUUUAGGAGGUGAACAAUCGUCACAGUAAAACAACGGGGCCCAAAUUCUACAUUUUUCUAUUCUUGUCUCGGUAGCCACGUCUUGAAGAUAAUUCUGGAGCUGGGUCCCAUUCUUUGGCGAUAGAAUCUACUCCCAAGAGAAAGAAAAGUAAAGAUUAAUCAUGGAAAUAAGAAGGGUUUACUAACGAGGAGGCUCUGCCACAGCCUCUGCACAAACCCAAUCUUUGAACAAGCUGUUCAGGGUAGGGUGGGUUGGACCCACCCACUUUGUUGGGGGGAGCUAAACCUGGAAGAAGUUUCUGAAUCGUUCAGCUGUGGAAGGACGUGAUCGUGAGGGAGAGAAGGGAUCUUUGCCUGAUUCUGUUACAUGUUAUCUGAUGAUCAAUGCAAGUGUUUUGGACUAUUUUAUAACUGAUGAGGUACGUAUGGGCUUCUUCUGUAGGACUUGGAGAUGCCUUUGCAUGGGUGUCUGAAAGCAAAAUUUAAUAGUUGGACAAACGAGACGAUCAAAUCACGUUUCAAUUUUCUAGAUUUGUUUAUUUAUUUAUUUUUCUUGAAUGGGUUAGAGGUGCAUCUUUUGACGGUGUUAACCUGGAUAGUGUGUAAAGAAGGCUUCCUAGUCUCUCUUAGUCCUUGCAUUUUGAGCUACCCAUUUGUCGGCAUGCAAGAUGAAGUGUCCAUGUCUAUUGAAGUCAAGUGUCCUCCACACACUAAUGUUUCUAUCAGAAAUGAUAAUAAAAAAGAGUUUUGAAGUACAAUGAUGUUUCAAAUA
Physcomitrium patens is the source of this 1233-nucleotide non-coding RNA. NCBI's taxonomy places the organism in Eukaryota, Viridiplantae, Streptophyta, Bryopsida, Funariales, Funariaceae. The record is from RefSeq and is a predicted model, not a curated record.